CUGAGGAUAAACCUGAAUAGGGGAUUGGUCCUGGAAUGGUCCUUCCCAUAAAGAGCAAUCACCUAAGGAUGAGUUGGCGGCAGAUAGAUAGUUGGUGGGGUAAAGGCCCACCAAGUCUAUGAUCUGUAAGGGCCUUGAGAGAGGGAGCCCUGAGAGGGGUACUUAGAUACAGACCCCAGCCCUACGGGGUGCAGCAGGCGCGAAAACUUUACAAUGCACGUAAGUGUGAUAAGGGGAUUCUAAGUGCUCUUACACUGUAAGAGCUUUUGCCAAGGGUAAAUACCUUGGCGAAUAAGUGGUGGGUAAGACUGGUGCCAGCCGCCGCGGUAACCCCAGCGCCACGAGUGGGAAUCAGAUUUAUUGGGCCUAAAGCGUUCGUAGCCGGUUUAGCAAAUUUCCUGUGAAAUUGUCAGGCUCAACUUGACAACGUGCAGGGGCGACUACUAAACUAGGGACCGGGAGGAGUGUGGGGUAUUUCUUGGGGAGCGGUAAAAUGUUAUAAUCCUUGAAAGACCACCUGUGGCGAAGGCGCCACACUAGAACGGAUCCGACGGUGAGGAACGAAAGCUAGGGGAGCGAUCCGGAUUAGAUAUCCGAGUAGUCCUAGCCGUAAACACUGCGAGUUAGGUGUUGCAUAUUCCUCGGGAAUAUGCAGUAUCGUAGCGAAGGCGUUAAACUCGCCGCCUGGGGAGUACGGUCGCAAGGCUGAAACUUAAAGGAAUUGGCGGGGGAGCACUACAAGGGGUGCGGCGUGCGGCUUAAUUGAAUUCAACGCCGGAAAUCUCACCAAGAGCGACUGCAGAAUGAAGGUCAGAUUAAAGGUCUUACCUGACACGCAGAGAGGUGGUGCAUGGCCGCCGUCAGCUCGUGCCGUAAGGUGUCCAGUUAAGUCUGGCAACGAGCGAGACCUAUGUCUACAAUUGCUAACGUCCUUUUUCGAGGGCGCGCACAAUGUAGAGACUGCCCUGGAAACAGGGAGGAAGGCGUAGGCUACGGUAGGUCUGUAUGCCCCGAAUCUCUUGGGCUACACGCGCGCAACAAUGGUAGGGACAAUGGGAUGCAACUCUGAAAAGAGAAGCUAAACCUCUAAACCCUAUCCUAGUUCGGAUUGAGCUAAAACCCAGGCUCAUGACGACGGAAUCCCUAGUAAUCAGACGUCAUCAUCGUCAGGUGAAUAUGUCCCUGCUCCUUGCACACACCGCCCGUCAAACCACUCGAGUAGGGUUUAGGUGAGGACAAUCUUCUUGGAUUGGACGAAUCUAAGCUUUGCGAGAUGGGUUAAGUCGUCACAAGGUA
Molecule: ribosomal RNA, 1296 nt
Filed under: metagenome
Description: bacterial SSU rRNA
Rfam family: Archaeal small subunit ribosomal RNA
Source: RNAcentral